GGAAUCUGUGGCAGACACAGAGCUGGGGCUAGAACAGAGCUGCUUUUUUUCUUUUUUUUUUCCCCUUUCCUUUUUCCUUUUUUCUCUUUUUGGUUUCUGGUCUUGUGCUUUAACUGCCUAAUCUGUGUCUAGGCUCCACUUCCUUGUUAGAGGAGGGACACUGUGGAAAGCUGCCUCAGCUGCCUGCCUUUGAGCAGGGGUGAAGAGUAGGAGCCAGCUACCUCCGCAGCACCAGGCUCACACUGAGGGCAAGUUAGAGCCAKGCUGCCGUUCCUAGCAGAGGGGAGAGUCUCGGACAGCCAACUCCCGUGGGAAAGCAGGUUUUGGAGGAAAAUGGGCUAGGACUCAUGGAGAGUGUUGGCAACGCUGAUGAUUUAGAAAAGGACCUAUUGUUGAAUUACAGGCUUGAAGUGAUGGCAGCUUCCUUUGAAGGCAGAAAAACCUUGAAGAAACAGGUGUUUUUUGUAGAAGAGACGAGUCUCUGCUCURUGCUUGUAGUCCGCUUGAAACACAGCAUCACUAAUCUUCAGUGGGGUCUCUACUCAGCUGUGCAAACAUGCUCUUUUUGAGGAUUAAACC
This 579-nucleotide long non-coding RNA is filed under the name Dromaius novaehollandiae (emu). RNAcentral describes it as "lncRNA (ENSDNVG00000014315.1)". The record is from RNAcentral. Lineage: Eukaryota; Metazoa; Chordata; Aves; Casuariiformes; Dromaiidae.